RNAcentral lists this ribosomal RNA (405 nucleotides) under uncultured bacterium. Its description in RNAcentral is "bacterial SSU rRNA". It matches the Rfam family "Bacterial small subunit ribosomal RNA", at positions 362 to 758 of the family's 1533-position model. The record is from RNAcentral.
UUUUGGACAAUGGGCGCAAGCCUGAUCCAGCCAUUCCGCGUGAGUGAAGAAGGCCUUCGGGUUGUAAAGCUCUUUCGCAAGGGAAGAAAACUUACUUUCUAAUAAAGAGUGAGGUUGACGGUACCUUGAUAAGAAGCACCGGCUAACUACGUGCCAGCAGCCGCGGUAAUACGUAGGGUGCGAGCGUUAAUCGGAAUUACUGGGCGUAAAGCGUGCGCAGGCGGCUUUGUAAGUCAGAUGUGAAAUCCCCGAGCUCAACUUGGGAACUGCGUUUGAAACUACAAGGCUAGAAUAUGUCAGAGGGGGGUAGAAUUCCACGUGUAGCAGUGAAAUGCGUAGAGAUGUGGAGGAAUACCAAUGGCGAAGGCAGCCCCCUGGGAGUAAUAUUGACGCUCAUGCACGAAG